This 499-nucleotide ribosomal RNA is filed under the name uncultured Bacteroidota bacterium. Its description in RNAcentral is "bacterial SSU rRNA". It matches the Rfam family "Bacterial small subunit ribosomal RNA", at positions 903 to 1382 of the family's 1533-position model. Lineage: Bacteria; Pseudomonadati; Bacteroidota. The record is from RNAcentral.
UUGCCAGCCCGCUCAGAAACUUAAAGGAAUUGACGGGGGCCCGCACAAGCGGAGGAGCAUGUGGUUUAAUUCGAUGAUACGCGAGGAACCUUACCUGGGCUUAAAUGCUUAAUGACGUACUGGGAAACUGGUAUUUCUUCGGACAUUUUGCAAGGUGCUGCAUGGUUGUCGUCAGCUCGUGCCGUGAGGUGUCGGGUUAAGUCCCAUAACGAGCGCAACCCCUAUUGUUAGUUGCCAUCAGGUCAUGCUGGGGACUCUAACAAAACUGCCCGCGUAAGCGUGGAGGAAGGUGGGGAUGACGUCAAAUCAGCACGGCCCUUACGUCCAGGGCUACACACGUGCUACAAUGGCCGGUACAGAGGGCAGCCACUUGGUGACAAGGAGCAAAUCUCAAAAGCCGGUCUCAGUUCGGAUCGGAGUCUGCAACUCGACUCCGUGAAGUUGGAUUCGCUAGUAAUCGUAGAUCAGCAAUGCUACGGUGAAUACGUUCCCGGGCCUU